This 508-nucleotide ribosomal RNA is filed under the name uncultured Glomeraceae. Its description in RNAcentral is "SSU rRNA". It matches the Rfam family "Eukaryotic small subunit ribosomal RNA", at positions 569 to 1078 of the family's 1831-position model. The record is from RNAcentral. Lineage: Eukaryota; Fungi; Glomeromycota; Glomeromycetes; Glomerales; Glomeraceae.
CGCAGCCGCGGUAAUUCCAGCUCCAAUAGCGUAUAUUAAAGUUGUUGCAGUUAAAAAGCUCGUAGUUGAAUUUCGGGGUUAGUAGGUUGGUCAUGCCACUGGUAUGUACUGGUCUCACUGAUUCCUCCUUCCUGAUGAGCCGUAAUGCCAUUAAUUUGGUGUUGCGAGGAAUCUGGACUGUUACUUUGAAAAAUUAGAGUGUUUAAAGCAGGCUAACGCUUGAAUACAUUAGCAUGGAAUAAUGAAAUAGGACGUUCGAUCUUAUUUUGUUGGUUUCUAAGAUUGACGUAAUGAUUAAUAGGGAUAGUUGGGGGCAUUAGUAUUCAAUUGUCAGAGGUGAAAUUCUUGGAUUUAUUGAAGACUAACUACUGCGAAAGCAUUUGCCAAGGAUGUUUUCGUUAAUCAAGAACGAAAGUUAGGGGAUCGAAGACGAUCAGAUACCGUCGUAGUCUUAACCAUAAACUAUGCCGACUAGGGAUCGGAUGAUGUUAAUUUUUUAAUGGUCUCA